GAUGAACGCUGGCGGCGUGCCUAAUACAUGCAAGUCGAGCGAACAGAUAAGGAGCUUGCUCCUUUGACGUUAGCGGCGGACGGGUGAGUAACACGUGGGUAACCUACCUAUAAGACUGGGAUAACUUCGGGAAACCGGGGCUAAUACCGGAUAACAUUUGGAACCGCAUGGUUCUAAAGUGAAAGAUGGUUUUGCUAUCACUUAUAGAUGGACCCGCGCCGUAUUAGCUAGUUGGUAAGGUAACGGCUUACCAAGGCGACGAUACGUAGCCGACCUGAGAGGGUGAUCGGCCACACUGGAACUGAGACACGGUCCAGACUCCUACGGGAGGCAGCAGUAGGGAAUCUUCCGCAAUGGGCGAAAGCCUGACGGAGCAACGCCGCGUGAGUGAUGAAGGGUUUCGGCUCGUAAAACUCUGUUAUUAGGGAAGAACAAAUGUGUAAGUAACUGUGCACGUCUUGACGGUACCUAAUCAGAAAGCCACGGCUAACUACGUG
This 497-nucleotide ribosomal RNA is filed under the name uncultured bacterium. RNAcentral describes it as "partial 16S ribosomal RNA". It matches the Rfam family "Bacterial small subunit ribosomal RNA", at positions 28 to 507 of the family's 1533-position model. The record is from RNAcentral.